UCAGAGCCGCCAGCUCCCCUGUACAGCCUGGGAAUUCAGGGAGCAGGAAGUGGAAGAGAAGGGAGGGAUUAGGGUUUUUACAGAAAUAUUCAAUAAAUCACUACUUUCUGAAGUACAAUUCGUCUAUAUCUAAAUGAGUCUAACGCACUGACACGUUCUUGGUUUUCACACAAAAUGUCUCCUUUAAAGGGCUCUGCAGCCAUAUGUUACUAAUACCCUAAUUACACACUGCCUUCCAUGUCUUGUUACUUAAUGGGAUUAAUAACAGAAGAUGUUUACAUCAUAGCUGAUUAGUUUCCACAUAAAACAAUCCAUCUCCAACUCAUAUAACAGACUCGGUGCCUGCCAGCGUGUAAAGUGCCUGUUUUGUGGAGCAGCAGCAGCCUCGUAUUUAACACAUCAAAGGAAACCUGCUGUCUGUAUGGAAAAUAUCUAAAUGAAGCCAGCUACACAGACUGCCAAUGAAAACUGCAGACAGACUAUGGCCAAACAGCUGCACGCUCACAAGGCGACGUGCACAUGCGCAAUAAAAAAAGGGCGACGUUGCGUGCUUCAAUAGAUAUCUGCGCGUGCGUCCCCAGUACUUCCUGGAUUCGAGCGACCAGUCAUUAGGAACGCGCAUGCGCUUAGGAAUCGAUGGUUUGGCGCCUCUCGUGGAGGUCAUGUGAGGGCCGGGAAGUAGCGCGAAACUUCCAGAAGCUGACGUCAACCGGUGACCUGUGUUUGGAUUGGUUCUCUCGCUGCAGUUUGUCCGAGUCAUGCAAGCAAAGAAGGAACGUACCACUAAAUUGUGGAACUGGAAGGUCACUGGAGAACUUUUACCCCAU
Long non-coding RNA from Xenopus laevis (African clawed frog), 827 nucleotides. RefSeq lists it as uncharacterized. Lineage: Eukaryota; Metazoa; Chordata; Amphibia; Anura; Pipidae. The transcript is spliced from 2 exons. The record is from RefSeq and is a predicted model, not a curated record.